UAUAAUGUAACCAAUACAUAUGAACUCUAGUUUCAACCCUAAUCAGUAAACAACUGUCUUAUCUGCAAUAAAAAUCCUUACAGAUGAGUUCUUUCUAAAGAUAUGCAAGAUUUACCGACUUAAUUUUGAUUUACAGUACCUAUUUUAUGAUAACCAAUAAAAAGAUGAUACUGAUAUCUUUUCACAAAUUACACAAAAUCCAUCCUUCAACUUCAGUACACCAAAGAUGAAAUUCAAAAUAUGGUCACAAUAUUUUUUUUCAAUGCCAACAUAAUCCUUUUUACAUGGUAAUUAAGUUAAGAAAGACAACUAGAUAUAAAGUUAGCACAAACAAGCUAGAUA
Molecule: long non-coding RNA, 342 nt
Organism: Saccostrea cuccullata (small rock oyster)
Lineage: Eukaryota; Metazoa; Mollusca; Bivalvia; Ostreida; Ostreidae
Exons: 2
Source: RefSeq, a predicted model, not a curated record